GUGGGGAAUAUUGGACAAUGGGCGAAAGCCUGAUCCAGCCAUGCCGCGUGUGUGAAGAAGGUCUUCGGAUUGUAAAGCACUUUAAGUUGGGAGGAAGGGCAGUAAGUUAAUACCUUGCUGUUUUGACGUUACCGACAGAAUAAGCACCGGCUAACUUCGUGCCAGCAGCCGCGGUAAUACGAAGGGUGCAAGCGUUAAUCGGAAUUACUGGGCGUAAAGCGCGCGCAGGUGGUUUUGUAAGUUGGAGGUGAAAUCCCCGGGCUCAACCUGGGAACUGCCUCCAAAACUGCAUGACUAGAGUACGGUAGAGGGUAGUGGAAUUUCCUGUGUAGCGGUGAAAUGCGUAGAUAUAGGAAGGAACACCAGUGGCGAAGGCGACUACCUGGACUGAUACUGACACUGAGGUGCGAAAGCGUGGGGAGCAAACAGGAUUAGAUACCCCAGUAGUCC
Molecule: ribosomal RNA, 450 nt
Filed under: uncultured bacterium
Lineage: Bacteria
Description: partial 16S ribosomal RNA
Rfam family: Bacterial small subunit ribosomal RNA
Source: RNAcentral